Molecule: unclassified non-coding RNA, 244 nt
Filed under: Ascomycota sp.
Lineage: Eukaryota; Fungi; Ascomycota
Description: partial contains small subunit ribosomal RNA, internal transcribed spacer 1, and 5.8S ribosomal RNA
Rfam family: Eukaryotic small subunit ribosomal RNA (bases 1-47)
Source: RNAcentral
AAAGUCGUAACAAGGUCUCCGUUGGUGAACCAGCGGAGGGAUCAUUACAGAGUUGCAAAACUCCCUACACCAUUGUGAACAUACCACUGUUGCCUCGGCGGACCCGCCCCGGGCGCUCCCCCUCGCGGGGCGUGUUCCGGGCUCAGGCGGCCGCCGGGGGCUCCAAACCUCUGUUUUUAUAGCGGACUUCUGAGUAUCAUGAGAAAAUAAAUCAAAACUUUCAGCAACGGAUCUCUUGGCUCUG